Molecule: transfer RNA, 82 nt
Filed under: Rhodocyclales bacterium GWA2_65_19
Lineage: Bacteria; Pseudomonadati; Pseudomonadota; Betaproteobacteria; Rhodocyclales
Also listed under: 1 other name
Description: tRNA-Leu
Rfam family: tRNA
About the family: Transfer RNA (tRNA) molecules are approximately 80 nucleotides in length. Their secondary structure includes four short double-helical elements and three loops (D, anti-codon, and T loops). Further hydrogen bonds mediate the characteristic L-shaped molecular structure. tRNAs have two regions of fundamental functional importance: the anti-codon, which is responsible for specific mRNA codon recognition, and the 3' end, to which the tRNAs corresponding amino acid is attached (by aminoacyl-tRNA synthetases). tRNAs cope with the degeneracy of the genetic code in two manners: having more than one tRNA (with a specific anti-codon) for a particular amino acid; and 'wobble' base-pairing, i.e. permitting non-standard base-pairing at the 3rd anti-codon position.
Source: RNAcentral
GCCCCGGUGGCGGAAUCGGUAGACGCAGCGGAUUCAAAAUCCGCCGCCGAAAGGUGUGCCGGUUCGAGUCCGGCCCGGGGCA